GUAGCUGUGAAAUGGGGAGGAGACAGCCUGUCAGAAGACUUGAACUCAUGUUGAAACCCUCCUGUUACACGUCAUGGAGUAAUGACUUAGUAAGCAGCUAGCACAGCAGUUCUGAAUUAGUUCAACAGUAAAACAGCCUGAUACCAGAAGCUAAGCUCAACGUCUCUCCAGCUGUGCUCUACCCAAGCGUGCCUCUCUACUCGAUGCCGAGAGGAUGGAGGAAUCAUGUUCUCUGCUGUAUCUCUGCUUCCCCCCAGCUGUGAGUGCCUCUGGUUAUGCUAUGUGGGAUGCCACCUCCACGUGGCCUGAUGAGCGGUGCCAUGUCCGUGCCCAGGAUCCGAACCAGCGAAACCCUGGGCCACUGCAGAGCACGUGAACUUAACCACUUGGCCAUGGGGCUGGGCCCUCCAAUGCAAUUCUGCUGUCAAGCAGAUUUCCUGAAACAAACAUGAUCUUUGAAGAGCCAGCAACUGGUGGUGAAUUAAAAACAGAUGAAUUUUCCAUAU
This 506-nucleotide long non-coding RNA is filed under the name Equus caballus (horse). RNAcentral's name for it is "lncRNA (ENSECAG00000046565.1)". Lineage: Eukaryota; Metazoa; Chordata; Mammalia; Perissodactyla; Equidae. The record is from RNAcentral.